This is a long non-coding RNA of Sciurus carolinensis (gray squirrel), 1245 nucleotides long. RefSeq lists it as uncharacterized. Lineage: Eukaryota; Metazoa; Chordata; Mammalia; Rodentia; Sciuridae. The transcript is spliced from 4 exons. The record is from RefSeq and is a predicted model, not a curated record.
UCUCUCCCUACCACACAACUGAGUAAGGAAGAAGAGUUAACAACACACACACUCAUGCACACACAUGUGCAGGUUGUUAUGAUUUGGAUUUGAAAAUGUCUCCAGAGAGCUGACGCAUGGAGCAACGUAGCAGUGUCAGAGGUGAGAAGAUGGGUUCUGAGAGCUGCGGCCUCAUCGUGGCCUAGGCCCUUCGAUGGAUUAAUGACUUGAUGGAUCACCAGGUGGUGACUAUAGAGAAUGAGUUGGGCGUGCUCCCUACUUCUUCUGUCCUCCUGAAGAGUUUCUGUUGGAUCGGAGCGUGGCCUUUGAGUGUUUUGGUAGAACUUUCCUGUGCUGUUCCAUUGUGCGGCUGCAUUGCUGCCUGUGUAUCCACUCAGCCGAUGGUGGACACGUGGUUUGUUUAUAGUUGGGCUCUUGUGAAUGAUUCAUCUAUGAUUAUUUUCAUACAAGUACUUUCUGCAUAUAUGUUUUUAUUUCUCUUGGAUACAUUCCUAGGAAUGGAAUGGCUGGACCACAUGGGAGGUAUAUAUUUAAUUUUAAAGGAACUACCAAACUGCUUUCCAAAGUGGUUCUGUGAUUUUCACAGCCCCACCAGCUGCGUGUGAGGGUUUCAGUUGCUCCAUGAAUCUUUGAAGCCAAUAGUGAUGGGAAGUCUUCUUAAUUUUAACCAUUCUACUACAGGUGUCGUGCUUUUAAUUUGCAUUUUUCUGAUCACUAGUGAUAUGGGGCAUCUUUUUACAGGCUAAUACAUUUUUUUGUGAAAUAUUUAUUUAAGCUAUUUAAUCUAUUUUUUUAGAUGUAGAUGGACACAUUACCUUUAUUUUAUUCAUUUAUUUCUAUGUGCUGCUGAGAAUCAAACCCAGUGCCCCACACAUACUAGGCAAGCUCUCUACCACUGAGCCUCAUGUUUCACUUAUUAUUGUGAAUUGUUUAUUACUCAGUCAUAAGAGAUAUUUAUAUAUUUUAUUUAUAAAUUAUUUGUCAAAGAUCAUCUCCCAAUGGGUAACAUAUCUUAUCAUUUACUUAAAUAGAUGUCUUAAUGAGCAAUUUAAUUGACUAAUUAAUUAAUUAACUUGAAGUUCUGGGGUUGGAACCCAGGGUUUUAUACCAGCUAGGCAAGGGCUCUAUCCUAAGCUAGACCACUAGCCCUAGAAGAUUUUAAUUUUGAUGAAAUCCAGUUAAUCAGUUUUUUCUUUUAUGGCUAAUGCUUUUCUUGUUUGAGUUAAAAAAAUCUUUGCCACCUCA